This 94-nucleotide transfer RNA is filed under the name Achromobacter denitrificans. Its description in RNAcentral is "tRNA-Arg(gcg)". The record is from RNAcentral. Lineage: Bacteria; Pseudomonadati; Pseudomonadota; Betaproteobacteria; Burkholderiales; Alcaligenaceae.
CGGGGCUGGCGCGCGCGGGCGGGCGCCGCGUGCAGCGGUCCAGCCCGAAGAACGCCAUCGUGUUGCGGCACAGGAUCUUCUCCUGCACCUCCGG